CUUUGCCCCGUGUCACCCAGGCGGCCGGUUGCCCUCUCCAAAAUAACCAAAAGUAUUUCUUCUGUGUCCUUCCGAGCAAGUACUUUUCUCUCGUCUUUCUCUUUGUGGACAGAGGUCUUGUUUGUCUUUUCCAGGAGACACUGGAGGAGUCUUAAUAUUCAAAUCCCAAAGGGGAUAGAUUCUAAGAUGGCACCUGUGCUCCUGUCUGCUGAGGUCUCAGGCAGGGGAGGACCCAGAGGCUCAGAGGCAAGAUGUCGAUUCUCAAAGGGAUUUCCACCACAAAAGAUAGCUAAUGCCGACUGUCUUUCAUCUUGCCCCAGACUCCCGUCCUCAGCAGCUGAGCCCUGGUUCCUCUGUGAUGUGCUAAGAGAAAUAAAAGGCUCAGAAGUGAAUGAGCUUAGAGAUGAAAGAUUUGGUUCAAGUUCUAGCUCCUCCACGAUGUGACCUUGAAGGCUGACGGAAGAUGUUGUUAGGAUUUAAAGUCAGAAUGCGUG
RNAcentral lists this long non-coding RNA (494 nucleotides) under Equus caballus (horse). Its description in RNAcentral is "lncRNA (ENSECAG00000035917.3)". The record is from RNAcentral. Lineage: Eukaryota; Metazoa; Chordata; Mammalia; Perissodactyla; Equidae.